GCACUGACUUUGGUAGUACAUAUACUAAAAUUGAAAUAGUACACAGAUUAGCAUGCCCACUAUGUAAGGACGACAUGCACAUCUAUGAAGUUUUUGGCAUGUUU
This 104-nucleotide small nuclear RNA is filed under the name Myotis brandtii (Brandt's bat). Lineage: Eukaryota; Metazoa; Chordata; Mammalia; Chiroptera; Vespertilionidae. The record is from RNAcentral.